This 200-nucleotide unclassified non-coding RNA is filed under the name soil metagenome. RNAcentral describes it as "partial contains internal transcribed spacer 2 and large subunit ribosomal RNA". The record is from RNAcentral.
GCAUUUUAAUUUGAUUGUGUGUGUCCUGGUUAACCAUACUGGGAUCAUAAGAGCAACAGAAUUAUUCUAAUUACCUCUUGUGGUCUCGGUACGGCGUCCGCCUUGACUCCCACCCCAUCAAUGAUACAGAGUGUGCAUCGUUUUCGGUGUGCAUUCUGAUUACUUGGUCUGAAAUCGAGCAAGAAACCCGCUGAACUUAA